AUGAGUAAUUUUUUUUAAUAAAGAUAUUAUAUAAAAUAAAUUUAUGUUAUUUUUUAUAUAAUGAAUUCGACAAUAUUAUUUUUAUCUGUUUAACAAAAACAUUGUUUUUUAAAAUUUUUAAAAAAUAAAGCCUGCACACUGAAUUUAAUUUUAAAGAGCCGCGGUAUUUUGACCGUGCAAAGGUAGCAUAAUCAUUAGUUUUUUAAUUGAAGACUGGAAUGAAAGGUUUAAUAAAAAAUAAGUUUUAUUAUAUAAAUAAAAAUUGAAUUUAUUAUUUUAGUAAAAAAACUAAAAUUUUAAUAAAAGACGAUAAGACCCUAUAAAGCUUUAUAUUUUUUUUUAAUAAAGAUUAUUUUAGAAUAAUAAAGUUUUUAAUUAAAAAAUUAUUAAAUUGGGGUGAUUUAAAGAUUUAAAAAACUCUUUAAAGGUUAUUUUUAUUUAUUUAUAAAAUUGAAUUGAUCUUUAAUAGUUGGAUUAAAAAAUUAAGUUACUUUAGGGAUAACAGCGUAAUUUUUUUAGAGAGUUCAUAUCGAUAAAAAAGUUUGCGACCUCGAUGUUGGAUUAAGAUAUAAUUUUAGGUGUAGAAGUUUAAAUUUUUAGUCUGUUCGACUAUUUUUUCUUACAUGAUCUGAGUUCAAACCGGUUUAAGCCAGGUUGGUUUCUAUCUUUAUAAAAAUAAAGUUGUAUUAUAGUACGAAAGGACCUAAUAUAAGAAUUUAAUUUUUUUUAAUAAAAGAAUUAAAUUAAAAGAA
Molecule: ribosomal RNA, 752 nt
Filed under: Polypedilum unifascium
Lineage: Eukaryota; Metazoa; Arthropoda; Insecta; Diptera; Chironomidae
Description: 16S ribosomal RNA
Rfam family: Archaeal large subunit ribosomal RNA (bases 498-656)
Source: RNAcentral